AUCCCUUUGUUUUAAAGCCCCAGAUAAAAAUCCAUUUCCUUCACAAUAAGAUCCAGCAUAUACUAUUCUGGGCACAAUGCUUGGCCUCUGGAGGCAUUCAGGAGGCACCUGCUUUGGGUAUAUGUAAGCCUGAAUCUACUAUUAAGCUCUGGAAAGUGUAAUAGAAAUAUGAAGGGGAAGAAAAGAUAAAUUCCUUCUAAGGAAAUUGGAACUGGAAGAAGUUGGUAUUUGAGCUAGACCUUGAAAAAAAAAAAAAAAAGGUGGAGGAAUUUAUUGAAAGGCUACUGGAACCAGUUUGUCCAGGAAGGGUUGGACAGGCUGAGUCUGGGUCCUUAGCAACAUAAAGUUGAAAGAAUAAAGUCACGUUCUAGAUUGUUAGAAUAGUCUUUUAAAGUAGUAACUAUAUCAACCUAUUAAUACAUUAAUACUGUCUAACAUUGGGGUUACAAAAAAUAAAUCACAACUUUUCACAUCUAGAACUAUGGUUCUAAACCAAGUGUGGAAAACCAUGCAACCAUGGUUUUCACCAUGGAACAUUUGACAAUAUCUGGAGACAGUUUUUAUCACCAUGCCUGGGGGCUUGGGGUGCCACUCAGAUCUGUUGAGAAGAGACCAGGGAUGCUGUUAACUAUAAAGACAUGUAGUUUUGGGCCAUGCACAUACAGGGAAGAGCAUUCUGAACUAAGGGAACAGAACAAACUGUGGAACAGGAGUAGUGUGGUGGUUUAAAAUACAUCUACAAGUUGACACUUCUCUAGAAAAGUGAAGCCUCAUUCCCCUCCCCUUGAAUAUGGACUUAGUGAUUCAUUCCUAACUGAUAGACUAUGGGCGAAGUGAUGCUGUGCAGCUCAUGACACUAGGUCAUUAUAAGGACAGCUUUGUGUUCCCUUACAUAUGAGUUUUGUGAAUUUGUUCCCUGCAUUACAAAUCAUGAUAAACUUGCCGACUUAAAACAACAUUCACUAUCUCACAUUUCUUUAGAUCAGAAUUCUGGAUGGGCUCCAGUGGGUUAUCUGCUUGAGAUCCCACAAGACCAACAUGAAGGUGUCCACCAGCCUGGCACUCUCUCCUGGAUCGCUUACUUUGCAGGAAUCCAGCAUCUAGCCUCAAACAGCCCUGGAAGAGAAAUGAAGAACUGAGACCUCCUCCCAGCAACAAGGACCGCCUUUUGAGUGAGCCACCUCAGGACCAGAUCCCAGGUGUGACCUAUCAGCCUCCUGAGAAAAUCCAAGCCAGAACCAUCCAGCUAAGCACUUCCUAAAUUCCUGACCCACAAAAACUGGGAGUAAGACAGUAAAUGCUUACUGUUUUAAACAGUCACUUUGGGGGGGGGGGGUAAUUUGUUUCCAUAGCAAUAAAUGGCCUUAAAAAUACAGGGUAUGCCGAGGGCUUGGAAUGGUGCACACGAAUGGGGAUUAAAAAUAAUGUGGAUGAGGCAAUGGAGUCAGAUGAACUGCCUUGAAUGUCAAACUGAAGUGUUUGCCUUUCAUUUGGUUUCUGAAGAAAUCUACAAUGUGGACUUAGUACAUCCAGAUCACAUGUGACUUACUCUCUGUUAGAGCAGUAAGGGCAGGAGUGGCUAUAGUUGGUAUUGGGGAGCAUGCUUGCCAUGUCUCUAGAAGAAGAAAAACCGUAACCUGUACAUGUCACUACUACAUGCGAAGUCCAUGGAUGGCAGGGGCUAGUUUUGAGUCAUGCUUUGUCAAUAUAAAGCUUCCCCUGGCUUGAUUUAAAAAAAAGAGAGAGAGAAAGAAUGAGAAAAAACUUCUCACAUGUAUCCAGGUCACUAAUGUAACACCACCGACUUGAUUGUUCUUACCCACCAGCCUCUUUGCAAGAAGGUGACACAUUAAAUUGCUUCCACCUGUGA
This 1870-nucleotide long non-coding RNA is filed under the name Canis lupus familiaris (dog). Its description in RNAcentral is "lncRNA (ENSCAFG00000053085.1)". The record is from RNAcentral. Lineage: Eukaryota; Metazoa; Chordata; Mammalia; Carnivora; Canidae.